Oncorhynchus gorbuscha (pink salmon) is the source of this 1656-nucleotide long non-coding RNA. RefSeq lists it as uncharacterized. The record is from RefSeq and is a predicted model, not a curated record. The transcript has 2 exons. Lineage: Eukaryota; Metazoa; Chordata; Actinopteri; Salmoniformes; Salmonidae.
UUCAAUGGAAGGAAAGCGGUGAGAGGCGGAGAGGGCGGGGGACCUUUGGGCGGUGCGAUGGUGGCGUGGGAGGCGGUGAAAAAGAUCAACGUUUUUUUCAACUUUAUUCAAAUCGCUAGCGGCGACCGCUGGGCUAUGACAAAUCAUAUCGAUUGGUUCCCAUGACGAAUUUGACUCCAUGCGACCCAAGGCUGGAGACUUUCUUCAGCAAAGAUGGCUGACAAAAAUGCUAUGAUGGAAGCACAUGGCCUCCUGAAACAACCAGCAAACCAGGCUGUCGUCUUGUGAAACAUGUAAUUGUCAAUACCUUCUGAUGUAAAGAAUCUAGCUAGCUAAAGCAUUUACUGCAAAUUGAAUGUACAAUUUUGUAUGCUUGCCUUGCUGAUAUUUGCCAUGCAAUGGAGAUAGAUGAAACAACGUAGCUAGCUAUGUUCUUGUUUAUUGUGCAGUGGAGGAUUUAAAAAAAGACCUGUAAUGCCUAUGGAAAAAGACCUGUAAUGCCUAUGGAAAAAGACCUGUAAUGCCUAUGGAAAAAGACCUGUAAUGCCUAUGGAAAAAGACCUGUAAUGCCUAUGGAAAAAGACCUGUAAUGCCCAUGGAAAAAUACCUGUAAUGCCUAUGGAUGUGUAGCUAGUUAUGUAGCCGAUCUGUGUAUGGUCCAUAAAACAUUUGGUAUACAUAUUAGUUCAGAACCUAGCUAUGAACCUCAGCUAUCAUAACCAGUUCUAUCAACUUCAAAACAGUCUGAAUGACAUUAAUGAAACCCAUGGAUUACCAAAGUCUAAUGGUUUUAAAUGACUGCUUUGAAUUGUCUAGAAACUCACUUGUAGAUUUUGCUUGCAGUAGGUCUCUUAAAAAAGAGAAGCCGUGCAAGGUUAUUAAACAGAUGUGCCUAGUUAUUAUUCUUUUGUUGAUAUCAGGUAACGUGCAACCUAAGCCUGGCCCUGAUAUGCAAUGUCUCCAAACGCCCUCUGAUUUAAAUCAAGAUCUGGUUUUGGUAUUUUUCAUUUAAAUGUACACAGCCUGUUGUCAAAAAUUGAUGGGGUUAGGAUUUGGGCUAAAUCAACUGAUGCUGAUGUAAUUGUGUUUUCUGUUUUUGAUAAUGAUAUUUGUAUUAUGGGUUACAAUGUUUAUCGCACUGAUCGAGUUAAGAAAGGUGGGGGUGUGGCUAUAUAUGUAAAAACAAAAUUCCCUGUAAGUGUGGCAAAGUCUGAAACUAUUUGUAAACAGUUUGAAUAUUGAGGUUUCAAAGGGCUUCUCUAUAACUGUGAUUGGCUGUUAUAGAACCCCCUCUGCUCUCGGUGAUGCAUUUUCUUCUCAACUGGUGUUGGUUAAAGCCGGUGUCUGAUGAUUUAAAAAUGUUUUGUAAUUCUAUGAAUCUUACCCAGUUGAUUAACUCGCCCAAAUCUUAAAUGCCCAAAAAAAUCUACCCUGAUUGAUUUGAUAUUGACAAAUGUUCCACAUAAAUAUUCUGUGGUUGGUGUUUUUUGUAAUGAUUUAAGUGACCAUUGUGCUGUUGUUGCUGUUAGAAAUACUAAGGUCCCAAAGACAAACCCAUGUUUUAUUCGUAAGAGAAAUUUGAAGUGUUUUAAUGAGCAGGCUUUCUUUCAUGAUUUGUUUUAUUUAAAACUGGAGCACGAUUGAGCUUAUCCCUGA